CCUACGGGAGGCAGCAGUGAGGAAUAUUGGUCAAUGGCCGUAAGGCUGAACCAGCCACGUCGCGUGAAGGAAGAAGGAUCUAUGGUUUGUAAACUUCUUUUAUAGGGGAAUAAAGGUAUCCACGUGUGGAUAAUUGCAUGUACCCUAUGAUUAAGCCUCGGCUAACUCCGUGUCAGCAGCCGCGGUAAUACGGAGGAUGCGAGCGUUAUCCGGAUUUAUUGGGUUUAAAGGGUGCGUAGGUUGUUUUUUAAGUCAGCGGUGAAAGUUUGGGGCUCAACCAUAAAAUUGCUGUUGAAACUGUAAGACUAGAGUGUGGUUGAGGUAGGCGGAAUGCGUGGUGUAGCGGUGAAAUGCAUAGAUAUCACGCAGAACUCCGAUGGCGAAGGCAGCUUACUAAGCCAUAACUGACACUGAAGCACGAAAGCGUGGGGAGCAAACAGGAUUAGAUACCCGGGUAGUC
Molecule: ribosomal RNA, 460 nt
Filed under: uncultured bacterium
Lineage: Bacteria
Description: partial 16S ribosomal RNA
Rfam family: Bacterial small subunit ribosomal RNA
Source: RNAcentral